Molecule: non-coding RNA, 2413 nt
Organism: Oryctolagus cuniculus (rabbit)
Lineage: Eukaryota; Metazoa; Chordata; Mammalia; Lagomorpha; Leporidae
Source: RefSeq, a predicted model, not a curated record
AUAAGUGAGUUGUGUGCAACCUCACAGCAGGCUGCUCUGAGCACCAGGCAAGAGGCCACAAACCAAACAGAGAGCAGGAAAAGGGCCAGAACAGGCGAGCUCAGGGCUGCAAAGCUGAGCUGGAGACGAGGGUGGAGGGCUUCCAGGAAGCGCUUACAGCACAAGCAACGGCAGAAAGGAGAGAAAGGACGCGCUGGGUUGGGAACGGAGGAGCCGCUGUCUGCUGAGGGUGAGGUCCUCGCAGACACAGACGUGGGAGAAACUGAGGCACAGCAAGCGAUGGCUUGCCCAGCGUCAUGAAGCCAGGGAGUUCAAGAGCUGGGAUCUGAGCCCAGGCCAUGAGCACUCUCUACACUUGGAGGCUGGCUUUGGACAUUCUGGGAGUCAAGGACCUGCCAGGCUUCUGGCAGGAGGGCCAUGAACGGAGCAGAGGCUAAGCUGAGCCAUCAGGAAGUGAGACCAGGACUCCCCAGCACCCGUCCUCUCAACGGCAAGAGAGGAGGCAAGGAUGAGCAGGACCACAGGAGACACACACAGAGAAGGCAGCCGGGCUCUCCUUGUUUGGGCAUCAGGGGUGUGAGUUCCUCCCAUUCCAGCUCCAAUGGCCAGCAAGUCCUGGGCUCCGGGAGGUAACUGGACAGUAGACACGGGCUCCCCAGGGAGCCCCUGUUCCAUACCCGGAGCUGGCAGCCCAACUGUUCGUGGGGGAUGUGGGUGGAGGUGUGGGAGGCAGGGAGGGGGCGAGGGAAUUCAGAGAGGGUGCCAAGGGGCCCUUGGUGCUCCCGCCCAGCCCAUACUGCCCGGCUGAGGAUUCGCCUCACAUCGCUGGGGCUUCUGAUCUUGCCAAAGAAGCCAGAAAUCCAGACCUUGAUGUGAAAUCUCCAGAUUUUUCACUGUCACUUCUUACAUGCAAGUAGUUCAUAAAUGGGUUAACCCCGGGUGCAGUGGGGGAGGUAAGGGCUAGGCCAGGUCAGAGGCAGGGGCGGAGUGGGAGGGCGGCCCCCAUUUUUCCUAGGUGUAAAGGACUAGCCUAAGGGCGAGCGUGUGAGCAGCGCAGGGCAGCACGAAUCUGCACGCAUGCAGAGCUGCGGCUGUGGCGAGUGUGUGCGCAUCUGCCUCCGCGCACACCCGAGCACAGGUGUAUAAUGCGGGACAGCACGUGAGGCCUUGCACCUGCGCAUUCGCGCACGUGCAGGGGGGCUCCGACGUGGGCCCUGGUCUAUACCCAACAACACGGUGGGCUCGGAUGGUUGUGUGCAAUGGCCCCCCACGAGGAGCCGCGCCCACGCGGCCUGGCGGCCGUGGGAGCGCACGCCAGGCGACACUCGUGCGUGCUAGCCGCCCCCCCUCCCCCACCGGCAGGCCCGGAGGCGGCCCUGGCCUGGCGGAACCCGGGGCGUCGCUCUUCCCGCCCUGAGCCCCAGCGCAGGCAGCCGAGCCGAGGGGGCGAGGGGAGGGGGCGGCGCGGCAGCUGCGCCCGGGCGGCCAUUAGUCACCAGAUGUCACCUUCUGCUGCUGGGGCGGCGCCGGGCGCAGACAAUGGCCGCGCGGGCCGACCGCAAAGCCGCGCCUCUGCUGACACCUAGAGCCCCGCGCCCGCGAUGCCCGGCUGCUGGCACUCGGCUGUGUGUCGCCGCCCGCGCUUUCCGCCCGCCUUCCUGCCUUCCUGCCCCUCCUCCAAGUGGCCCCUUAUGCUCCCCGGACAAGGCCGCUCCUCUUCCUCCCAGCCGGGGCUCCGUGGGGUCCGCAGGUAGGGACCGCGCGAGGCACAGUGGCUGAUCCUCAGAGCUGGUCCUGGGAUGGCGCUGGUACCUUCCACUCUGCGGAGGAAUCCCGCUAGCUGCUGAAGUUCCUUGCCAGCCACACACGGGCUCAGCUUCAAGCCCCUGUGUUUCAAGAACCAGACCCGAAAGCACAGUCCCUACCUUGCUGUGUGACCCUGGGCCGGUUGUCACCCUCUCUAGGCACUGGUUGCUCAUCUGGGGGCUUGGAAGACGGGGCUAGUCGGUGCCGGGAGGGCCCAGGCACAGCUGAGGCUGCUGCACACCUGUGCCCAAGUGACCCUCUCGAGGUUGGGAGGGGGUGGCAGCGGGCAGCUCUCUUUGAAAAUGAGAACAGCUGUAAGGGACAAGGUCGUCGGGCCCCCUGCAUCGCCAGCAUGCUCAGGAAGCUUCCGGACUGCAGCUGAGUCGCAGAGGCGGCAAGUCAGAGGAGAGCAGACGCAAUACUGAACCCCGGGGCAGGCCCUCCGCCCCCGUCCUGCUCUGUGGGGACCCAGACCCUGAAGGCCUCCGGCGCCGGAAAUCCAGGGCGAAGACGGCCUCCGGGGGUGGCCUCAUCUCAAGGCCGUCUUUGCCCCUUUCCUCAGUGCAGGGGGCCUGCCAGGGCUCCCAUUCCUGCCCAGCCCCCAGCC